AUUGAACGCUAGCGGGAUGCUCUACACAUGCAAGUCGAACGGCAGCGCGGACUUCGGUCUGGCGGCGAGUGGCGAACGGGUGAGUAAUGUAUCGGAACGUGCCCAGUAGCGGGGGAUAACUACGCGAAAGCGUAGCUAAUACCGCAUACGCCCUACGGGGGAAAGCAGGGGGUCGUAGGACCUUGCACGCUUGGAGCGGCGGAUAUCGGGUUAGUUAGUUGGUUGGGUAACGGGUCACCAAGGCGACGAUCCGCAGCUGGUUUGAGAGGACGACUAGCCACACUGGGACUGAGACACGGCCCAGACUCCUACGGGAGGCAGCAGUUGGGAAUUGUGGACAAUGGGGGCAACCCUGAUCCAGCCAUCCCGCGUGUGCGAUGGAGGCCUUCGGGUUGGAAAGCACUUUUGGCAGGAAAGAAACGUCGCGGGCUAAGACGCCGUGGAACUGACGGUACCUGCAGAAUAAGCACCGGCUAACUACGUG
This 484-nucleotide ribosomal RNA is filed under the name uncultured bacterium. RNAcentral describes it as "partial 16S ribosomal RNA". It matches the Rfam family "Bacterial small subunit ribosomal RNA", at positions 29 to 507 of the family's 1533-position model. The record is from RNAcentral.